This is a long non-coding RNA of Neofelis nebulosa (Clouded leopard), 343 nucleotides long. RefSeq lists it as uncharacterized. Lineage: Eukaryota; Metazoa; Chordata; Mammalia; Carnivora; Felidae. The transcript has 2 exons. The record is from RefSeq and is a predicted model, not a curated record.
UCUAUUUGUUAUAUUUAUAAUUUUGAAACCAGUUGAAAGUGUAUUUACUCAUUGCUAAAAACUCCUCGGGAAAAUAACUAUGCUUUACAAACUACCUGAUGAAUCCUUUCCAUUAAUGUGGUGUAAGCUUUAACAGUGAAGUUGCUACAUAAAAUAAAAUACACCAAUAACAAAGCAAGGAAAAAUACACUCAACAACACAUUUUAUUGUAUUUCUCAGUGGUGGUUCCCGCUACCCCAGCUAAGGGAUACUUUAAGAAAAACUUACUUUAUGGAAGUUACUAUAAAAUUAGUUUUUCAUUAUACAUUGUAAUUUAAUUGCUCAUAAAGUCCAAAAUUAUGAG